AGCUUUGCACAGUGGCAGUGUUGUAGCCAAUGAGGUUUAACCAAGGUGUGAUUAUUGCUAAUUAAAAUGUAUAUGAAUAUGAGCUGUUAUUAUUAUUAACCAGAUUACAAGACCCAUACUUAAAAACUUCCCAGUU
Monodelphis domestica (gray short-tailed opossum) is the source of this 136-nucleotide small nuclear RNA. Its record names the gene U4. It matches the Rfam family "U4 spliceosomal RNA". From Rfam's summary of the family: U4 small nuclear RNA (U4 snRNA) is a component of the major U2-dependent spliceosome. The structure of U4 snRNA from yeast and human has been reported. NCBI's taxonomy places the organism in Eukaryota, Metazoa, Chordata, Mammalia, Didelphimorphia, Didelphidae. The record is from Ensembl.